CAUCGUCGACAACAUGGAGAUGAGUCGCCGGCGAGUUGUGUCACCGGUGGUGAGUCACUGGUGAGUUGUGUCACCAGUGAUGAGCAUGGAGGCGAGUCACCAGCGAGUUGUGGCAUCGGUGGCAAACAUGCGGCAGCGAGCGUGCCACGGCAGCAUGCUCAUGGUGAAGGCGCACGAGGUGCGACUCUCAUUGAAGCUAGCGGCGAUGCUGCAAUUGGUGUGACAAGAUGGCAUUGGCGGCCAUCUCCGUGUUGCACCGAUGACAUCAACGACCACGGGCUUCAAGAGAGGAUUAAAUGA
Molecule: ribosomal RNA, 300 nt
Filed under: Triticum aestivum (bread wheat)
Lineage: Eukaryota; Viridiplantae; Streptophyta; Magnoliopsida; Poales; Poaceae
Description: partial small subunit ribosomal RNA
Source: RNAcentral